UGUAUAUUUGUCUUCGAUGAAAAGGGAAACAGGUGAGAAUCCUGUGCGAACUCGUCACCGUAAUAAGGGAGUAAUGGCCGCUAUAUCACUGGGAGACCGGGAAGAUGGCCGGAGCGCUGAUCUUUGAGUCGGGAGACCUGCCCGGAAAU
This 149-nucleotide non-coding RNA is filed under the name human gut metagenome. The record is from RNAcentral.